RNAcentral lists this ribosomal RNA (253 nucleotides) under uncultured Eubacteriales bacterium. Its description in RNAcentral is "uncultured Clostridiales bacterium partial 16S ribosomal RNA". It matches the Rfam family "Bacterial small subunit ribosomal RNA", at positions 524 to 776 of the family's 1533-position model. The record is from RNAcentral. Lineage: Bacteria; Bacillati; Bacillota; Clostridia; Eubacteriales.
UACGUAGGGGGCAAGCGUUAUCCGGAUUUACUGGGUGUAAAGGGAGCGUAGACGGCACUGCAAGUCCGGAGUGAAAGCCCAAGGCUUAGCCAUGGGACUGCUCUGGAAACUGUGGAGCUUGAGUGCGGGAGGGGCAGGCGGAAUUCCUAGUGUAGCGGUGAAAUGCGUAGAUAUUAGGAGGAACACCAGUGGCGGAGGCGGCUUACUGGACGGUAACUGACGCUGAGGCUCGAAAGCGUGGGGAGCAAACAGG